Molecule: ribosomal RNA, 303 nt
Filed under: uncultured bacterium
Lineage: Bacteria
Description: partial 16S ribosomal RNA
Rfam family: Bacterial small subunit ribosomal RNA
Source: RNAcentral
AGCAGUAGCCGCGGUAAUACGUAGGGUGCGAGCGUUAAUCGGAAUUACUGGGCGUAAAGCGUGCGCAGGCGGUUCGUUAAGACAGAUGUGAAAUCCCCGGGCUUAACCUGGGAACUGCAUUUGUGACUGGCGAGCUAGAGUAUGGCAGAGGGGGGUAGAAUUCCACGUGUAGCAGUGAAAUGCGUAGAGAUGUGGAGGAAUACCGAUGGUGAAGGCAGCCCCCUGGGCCAAUACUGACGCUCAUGCACGAAAGCGUGGGGAGCAAACAGAAUUAGAUACCCCCGUAGUCCCUGUCUCUUAUAC